This is a non-coding RNA of Plectropomus leopardus (leopard coralgrouper), 73 nucleotides long. The record is from the annotation of a RefSeq genome assembly. NCBI's taxonomy places the organism in Eukaryota, Metazoa, Chordata, Actinopteri, Perciformes, Serranidae.
AUUUCCGUAGUGUAGUGGUUAUCACAUUCGCCUCACACGCGAAAGGUCCCUGGUUCAAAACUGGGCGGAAACA